AAAUUAUAUAGUCAUUUAUGAUAUAAAAUUGCAAAUUUUAUGGUGAAUAAAUUUUAUUUAUUCUAUA
This 67-nucleotide transfer RNA is filed under the name Corthylus rubricollis. RNAcentral describes it as "tRNA-Cys". The record is from RNAcentral. Lineage: Eukaryota; Metazoa; Arthropoda; Insecta; Coleoptera; Curculionidae.